This 149-nucleotide unclassified non-coding RNA is filed under the name uncultured Pezizella. Its description in RNAcentral is "partial internal transcribed spacer 2". The record is from RNAcentral. Lineage: Eukaryota; Fungi; Ascomycota; Leotiomycetes; Helotiales; Hyaloscyphaceae.
CAACCCUCAAGCUCUGCUUGGUCUUGGGCCGCGCCGGUCAAACGGCGGGCCUCAAAAACAGUGGCGGCGCCAUCGUGUCCCUCAGCGUAGUAAUUCUUCUCGCUGUUGGUACCCGGUGGCCGCUGGCCAGCAACCCCAAUUUUUUCUAU